UGGGGGACUCAAGACUGCAAUCGCGUGUCGCCCUUAGAGUUUGAUCCUGGCUCAGGACGAACGCUGGCGGCGUGCUUAACACAUGCAAGUCGAACGGUAAGGCCCUUUCGGGGGUACACGAGUGGCGAACGGGUGAGUAACACGUGGGUGAUCUGCCCUGCACUUUGGGAUAAGCCUGGGAAACUGGGUCUAAUACCGAAUACACCUUGCUGGCUGCAUGGCCUGGUGGGGGAAAGCUUUUGCGGUGUGGGAUGGGCCCGCGGCCUAUCAGCUUGUUGGUGGGGUGAUGGCCUACCAAGGCGACGACGGGUAGCCGGCCUGAGAGGGUGUCCGGCCACACUGGGACUGAGAUACGGCCCAGACUCCUACGGGAGGCAGCAGUGGGGAAUAUUGCACAAUGGGCGCAAGCCUGAUGCAGCGACGCCGCGUGAGGGAUGACGGCCUUCGGGUUGUAAACCUCUUUCAGUACCGACGAAGCGUAAGUGACGGUAGGUACAGAAGAAGCACCGGCCAACUACGUGCCAGCAGCCGCGGUAAUACGUAGGGUGCGAGCGUUGUCCGGAAUUACUGGGCGUAAAGAGCUCGUAGGUGGUUUGUCGCGUUGUUCGUGAAAACCGGGGGCUUAACCCUCGGCGUGCGGGCGAUACGGGCAGACUUGAGUACUGCAGGGGAGACUGGAAUUCCUGGUGUAGCGGUGGAAUGCGCAGAUAUCAGGAGGAACACCGGUGGCGAAGGCGGGUCUCUGGGCAGUAACUGACGCUGAGGAGCGAAAGCGUGGGGAGCGAACAGGAUUAGAUACCCUGGUAGUCCACGCCGUAAACGGUGGGUACUAGGUGUGGGUUUCCUUCCUUGGGAUCCGUGCCGUAGCUAACGCAUUAAGUACCCCGCCUGGGGAGUACGGCCGCAAGGCUAAAACUCAAAGAAAUUGACGGGGGCCCGCACAAGCGGCGGAGCAUGUGGAUUAAUUCGAUGCAACGCGAAGAACCUUACCUGGGUUUGACAUGCACAGGACGCCGGCAGAGAUGUCGGUUCCCUUGUGGCCUGUGUGCAGGUGGUGCAUGGCUGUCGUCAGCUCGUGUCGUGAGAUGUUGGGUUAAGUCCCGCAACGAGCGCAACCCUUGUCUCAUGUUGCCAGCACGUAAUGGUGGGGACUCGUGAGAGACUGCCGGGGUCAACUCGGAGGAAGGUGGGGAUGACGUCAAGUCAUCAUGCCCCUUAUGUCCAGGGCUUCACACAUGCUACAAUGGCCGGUACAAAGGGCUGCGAUGCCGUGAGGUGGAGCGAAUCCUUGUUAAAGCCGGUCUCAGUUCGGAUCGGGGUCUGCAACUCGACCCCGUGAAGUCGGAGUCGCUAGUAAUCGCAGAUCAGCAACGCUGCGGUGAAUACGUUCCCGGGCCUUGUACACACCGCCCGUCACGUCAUGAAAGUCGGUAACACCCGAAGCCGGUGGCCUAACCCCUUGGGGAGGGAGCCGUCGAAGGUGGGAUCGGCGAUUGGGACGAAGUCGUAACAAGGUAACCAAGGGCGACACGCGAUUGCAGUGUAACACGAGUGAUCCUGAGUU
Molecule: ribosomal RNA, 1564 nt
Filed under: uncultured bacterium
Lineage: Bacteria
Description: bacterial SSU rRNA
Rfam family: Bacterial small subunit ribosomal RNA
Source: RNAcentral